This is a small nuclear RNA of Delphinapterus leucas (beluga whale), 106 nucleotides long. Its record names the gene U2. It matches the Rfam family "U2 spliceosomal RNA". From Rfam's summary of the family: U2 is a small nuclear RNA (snRNA) component of the spliceosome (involved in pre-mRNA splicing). Complementary binding between U2 snRNA (in an area lying towards the 5' end but 3' to hairpin I) and the branchpoint sequence (BPS) of the intron results the bulging out of an unpaired adenosine, on the BPS, which initiates a nucleophilic attack at the intronic 5' splice site, thus starting the first of two transesterification reactions that mediate splicing. The record is from Ensembl. NCBI's taxonomy places the organism in Eukaryota, Metazoa, Chordata, Mammalia, Artiodactyla, Monodontidae.
AUUUCAUCUCAGCCUUUUGGCUAAGAUCAAGUGUAGUAUCUGUUCUUGUCAAUUUAAAUAGCAAGAGAAAAGAAAGGAAAAUAACGGGCAUGCCCCCACACUCUUC